ACAGCAGCAGCCACGGUAAUACAGAGGGUGCGAGCGUUAAUCGGAUUUACUGGGCGUAAAGCGUGCGUAGGCGGCUUCUUAAGUCGGAUGUGAAAUCCCUGAGCUUAACUUAGGAAUUGCAUUCGAUACUGGGAAGCUAGAGUAUGGGAGAGGAUGGUAGAAUUCCAGGUGUAGCGGUGAAAUGCGUAGAGAUCUGGAGGAAUACCGAUGGCGAAGGCAGCCAUCUGGCCUAAUACUGACGCUGAGGUACGAAAGCAUAGGGAGCAAACAGGAUUAGAUACCCCGGUAGUCCCUGUCUCUUAUAC
This 305-nucleotide ribosomal RNA is filed under the name uncultured bacterium. RNAcentral describes it as "partial 16S ribosomal RNA". It matches the Rfam family "Bacterial small subunit ribosomal RNA", at positions 506 to 807 of the family's 1533-position model. The record is from RNAcentral.